This 904-nucleotide unclassified non-coding RNA is filed under the name Cimex lectularius (bed bug). RNAcentral's name for it is "uncharacterized LOC106669234, transcript variant X3". Lineage: Eukaryota; Metazoa; Arthropoda; Insecta; Hemiptera; Cimicidae. The record is from RNAcentral.
AAAAAAGAAAACAGAAAAUAAAAAAAAUUAAAACGAUUAAUUGGAAAAAAAGAGCAAUAUUAAAAAAUUUCUGUUCAAAUUAAUACCAACGGGAAAAUCGGUCUUCCUCCCAUUAUCUGGACCAACUGUGGGCAUUAUGAUCGGGAUCUGGUGGACCCGGGACCUGACUCCGCCCUCACCCCGUCGCUUACUCGCAGUGAUGCCCGGGGAAAAUCGGUCUUCCUCCCAUUAUCUGGACCAACUGUGGGCAUUAUGAUCGGGAUCUGGUGGGCCCGGGACCUAACUCCGCCCUCACCCCGUCGCCUACUCGCAGUGACACCCCGGGUAUUAUUUUUGUCGGCUGAAUUUCUAGGCAAUGUUAUUUGAAAAUACUGUUUAAAAAAUUUUAAUUUCAAUUAAAAUUUUAAGUAGUAGUUUCAACAAUAACACUGAAUAGCAAUUCAGUUUACAAUAAAAAUAGAAAGAAGAAAAAGAAUGCAACAUAAGGACAUAAUUGCACGAUGGAGCUGCGUAGCGUUUGUAAUGUUGAAAAAAAUCAGACAGACCAAACCAGGAAGGAUACUCUAGGAGGACCAUAAAACUGCAAAGAAGAAAAAGAAUGCAACAUAAGGACAUAAUUGCACAAUGGAGCUGCAUAGCGUUUGUACCACCACUGGAAAUGUUGAAAAAAAUCAGACAGGCCAAACCAGGAAGGAUAGUCUAGGAGGACCAUAAAACUGCGAUUCACCUGGGUGCAGUUCAAAGAUGAAAAGUGGAAAGUCUCUCAAACUUCGUCUCCUAAUGGAGUCACUAAGCAGCAACUUUACAGGUCAACUGCUCAGAUGGAAGCUUGGAAGCUCUCCAGAAGAAAAUUUACGGACUAUUGAAAUUAUUUUAUUAAAUAAACAGGACAUUUAAAUAAUUA